AGGAAACUUAUCCAAUAACCAAUUCCCAAUAAACUUUUGUUCACCACGGGAAACCUUAAAAUUCUACCUUUACGCUUAAAGCAAGGUAGAGAAAGGAGUAGAUAUCAAAUGUUAAAACCACAAUGUCCUUGAAAGUAAAUCAAAUUAUUCUGAUACGAAACUAAAGAAAUGAGGAAUAGAAAACACAAGAUCAAGCUUUAAAAAAAAAAACAAAGAAAUCAAAGAAUUGAAAAUUAAUUUUCUGCUACACACAUGCGGUCAACAAAUAACACUCAAACAUAAAAGACAAGAAUCAAGAACAAUGCGAAGUGGAAGAGAAUAGUGGAUACGAAGGAAACUUACCUGACAAGGAUAUCCAAAUAAGCUUCUCUUCUCCUCGGGACACUUGAAAAUUCUACCCCUACGCUUAUAGAAAGUAGAGAAAAGAGUAGAGAUCAAAUGUAAAAACGAGAGUAAGAAAAUUAACUCUCAAGAGACAAUAUCGUUGAAAUUAAAUUAAAUUAUGUUGAUACGAAACUAAAAAAAUGAGGAAUAGAUAACGCAACAUCAAGAUAAAAAAAAAAAACAAAGAAAUUAACGGAUUCAAAAAUAAUUUUCUAAUACACACAUACAGUAGACGUAUAACACAAAACUAUAAAAGGUAACAAUGAAAAACAAUGCAAAAUGUGAGAGAAUAGGGAAUACGGAGGAAACUUAUCCAAUAACCAAUUCCCAAUAAACUUUUGUUCACCACGGGAAACCUUAAAAUUCUACCCUUACGCUUAAAGCAAGGUAGAGAAAUGAGUAGAUAUCAAAUGUUAAAACCACAAUGUCCUUGAAAGUAAAUCAAAUUAUUCUGAUACGAAACUAAAGAAAUGAGGAAUAGAAAACACAAGAUCAAGCUUUGAAAAAAAAAACAAAGAAAUCAAAGGAUUGAAAAUUAAUUUUCUGCUACACACAUGCGGUCAACAAAUAACACUCAAACAUAAAAGAGAAGAAUGAAAAAUAAUGCGAAAUGGAGGAAAAUAGGGGAUAAGGAGGAAACUUACCUGACAAGUAUUUCCCCAUAAACAUCUUUUUUCCUCGAGAAACCUAAAAAUUCUACCCUUACGCUUAUAGAAGGUAGCGAAAGGAGUAGAGAUCAAAUGUAAAAAUGAGAAUAAGAAAAUUAACUCUUAAGGCUCAAUAUUGUUAAAAGGAAAUCAAAUUCUGCUGACACGAAACUAAAGAAAUGAGGAAUAGACAACGCAACAUCAAGAUAAAAAACAAACAAAGAAAUUAAUGGAUUCAAAAUUAAUUUUCUAGAACACACGUAUAGUAGACAUAUAACACGAAAACAUAAAAGAUAAAUAAGAAGAACAACGCAAAAUUUGAGAGAAUAGGGAAUAUGGAGAAAACUUAUUGAAGAACUAAUUCCCAAUAAACUUCUCUUGACCAGGGGAAACCUGAAAAUUCUACCCUUACGCUUAAAGCAAGGUAGAGAAAGGAGUAGAGAUCAAAUUUUAAAACCACAAUGUACUUGAAAGUAAAUAAAAUUAUUUUGAUAAGAAACUAAAGAAAUGAGAAAUAGAAAACACAACAUAGAGCAAUAAAAAAAAACAAUGAAAUCAAAGGAUUGAAAAUUCAUUAUCCACUAGAUACACGCAGUGAACAAAUAACACUCAAACAUAAAAAAAAAAAGAAUGAAGAACAAUGCGAAAUGGUGGAGAAUAGGGGAUACAGAGAAAACUUACCUGACAAAUAUUUCCAAACAAACCACUCUUUUCCUCGGGAAACCUAAAAAAUUCUACACUUAUGCUUAUAGAAUGUAGCGAAAUGAGUAGAUAUCAAAAGUAAAAACGAGAAUAAGAAAAUUAAUUCUUAAGGCGCAAUAUCGUUGAAAGGAAAUCAAAUUAUGCAAAUACAAAACUAAAGAAAUGAGGAAUAGACAACGCAAGAUCAAGAUAAAAAACAACCAAAGAAAUUAACGGAUUCAAAAUUAAUUUUCUAGUACACAGAUACAGUAGACAUAUAACAUGAAAACAUACAAGAUAAAUAUGAAGAACAUUGCAAAAUUUGAGAGAAUAGGGAAUACGGAGGAAACUUAUCCAAGAACUAAUUCUCAAUAAACUUUCCUUCACAACGGGAAACCUGAAAAUUCUACCCUUUCGCUUAAAGCAAGGUACAGAAAGGAUUAGAGAUCAAAUGUUAAAACCACAAUGUCCUUGAAAGUAAAUAAAAUUAUUUUGAUAAGAAACUAAAGAAAUGAGCAAUAGAAAACACAACAUAGAGCUCUAAAAAAAACAAUGAAAUCAAAGGAUUGAAAAUUCAUUCUCUACUACAUACACGUAGUCAACAAAUAACACUCAAACAAAAUAGAGACGAAUGAAGAACAAUGCGAAAUGGAGGAGAAUAGGUGAUACAAACAAACUACUCUUUUCCUCGGGAAACCUGAAAAUUCUACUUUCACGCUUACCUGACAAGUAUGUGUGUACUAGAAAAUUAAUUUUGAAUCCGUUAAUUUCUUUGUUUGUUUUUUAUCUUGACCUUGCAUUGUUUAUUCCUCAUUUCUUUAGUUUUGUAUCUACAUAAUUUGAUUUGCUUUCAACGAUAUUGUGCCUUAAGAGUUCAUUUUCUUAUUCUCGUUUUUACUUUUGAUCUGUACUCCUUUCGCUACAUUCGAUAAGCGUAAGGGUAAAAUUUUCAGGUUUCUCGAGGAAAAGAGAAGUUUGUUUGGAAAUACUUGUCAGGUAAGUUUUCUCUGUAUCCCCUAUUCUCCUCCAUUUCGCAUUGUUCUUCAUUCUUCUCUUUUAUGUUUAAGUGUUAUUUGUUGAAUUCGUGUAUGUAGUAGAGAAUGAAUUUUUAACCUUUUGAUUUCAUUGGGUUUUUUUUUUAUAGCUCUAUGUUGUGUUUUCUAUUACUCAUUUCUUGACUUCCUUAUCAAAGUAAUUUUAUUUACUUUCAAGUACAUUGUGCUUUGAAAAUUUGAUCUCUACUCCUUUCUCUACCUUGCUUUAAGCGUAAGCGUAGAAUUUUUCAGGCUUCCCGUGGUCAAGAGAGUUUUAAUGGGAAUUAAUUAUUCAAUAAGUUUCCUCCAUAUUCCCUAUUCUCUCAAAUUUUGCACUGUUCUUCAUAUUAAUCUUUUAUGUUUUCGGGUUAUAUGCCUACUGUAUGUGUGUACUAGAAAAUUAAUUUUGAAUCCACUUAUUUCUUUGCUUGUUUUUUAUCUUGAUGUUGCGUUGUCUAUUCCUCAUUUCUUUAGUUUUGUAGCUGCAUAAUUUGAUUUGCUUUCAACGAUAUUGUGCCUUAAGAGUUCAUUUUCUUAUUCUCGUUUUUACAUUUGCCAGGUAAGUUUUCUUUGUAUCCCCUAUUCUCGUUCAUUUCGCAUUGUUCUUCAUUCUUCUCUAUUAUGUUUUAGUGUUAUUUUUUUAAAUUCGUGUAUGUAGCAGAGAAUGAAUUUUCAAUCUUUUGAUUUCAUUGUUUUUUUUUAUAGCUCUAUGUUGUGUUUUCUAUUACUCAUUUCUUUACUUUUUUAUCAAAAUAAUUUUAUUUUCUUUGAAGUACAUUGUGGUUUUACAAUUUGAUUUCUACUCCUUUCUCUACCUUGCUUUAAGAGUAAGGGUAGAAUUUUCAAGUUUCCCGUGGUCAAGAGAAGUUUAUUAGGAAUUAGCUAUUCAAUAAGUUUCCUCUAUAUUCCCUAUUCCCUCAAAUUUUGCACGGUUCUUCGUAUUUAUCUUUUAUGUUUUCAUGUUAUAUGCCUACUGUAUGUGUGUAUUAGUAAAUUAAUUUUCAAUCCGUUAAUUUCUUUGCUUGUUUUUUUAUCUUGAUGUUGCGUUGUCCAUUCCUCAUUUCCUUAGUUUCGUAUAUGCAUAAUUUGAUUUCCUUUCAACGAUAUUGUGCCUUAAGUUUUAUAUUUCUUAGUCUCGUUUUUACAUUUGAUUUCUACUCCUUUCGCUACCUUUUAUAAGCGUAAGAGCAAAAUUUUCAGGUUUCCCAAGGAAAAGAGAAGCUUAUUUGGAAAUACUAGUCAUGUAAGUUUCCUCCGUAUCCCUUAUUCUCUUCUAUUUCGCAUUGUUCUUUAUUCUUCUCUUUUAUGUUUGAGUGUUAUUUGUUGACCGCAUGUAUGUAGUAGAGAAUUAAUUUUCAAUCCUUUGAUUUCUUUGUUUGUUUUUAAAAGCUUGAUGUUUUGUUUUCUAUUGCUCAUAUCUUUAGUUUCGUAUUCGAAUAAUUUUAUUUACUCUCAAGGACAUUGUGGUUUUAACAUUUGAUCUCUUCUCCUUUCUCUACCUUGCUUUAAGCAUAAGGGUAGAAUUUUCAAGCUUCCCGUGGUCAAGAGAAGUUUAUUGGGAAUUAGUUAUUCGAUAAGUUUCCUCCAUAUUCCCUAUUCUCUCAAAUUUUGCACUGUUCUUCAUAUUAAUCUUUUAUGUUUUCAUGUUAUAUGCCUACUGUAUGUGUGUAUUAGAAAAUUAAUUUUCAAUCCGUUAAUUUCUUUGCUUGUUUUUUUAUCUUGAUGUUGCGUUGUCUAUUCCUCAUUUUUAUAGUUUCGUAUAUGCAUAAUUUGAUUUCCUUUCAACGAUAUUGUGCCUUAAGUUUUAUAUUUCUUAGUCUCGUUUUUACAUUUGAUUUUCACUCCUUUCGCUACCUUCUAUAAGCGUAAAGGUAGAAUUUUCAGGUUUCCCGAGGAAAAAAGAAGCUUAUUUGGAAAUACUUGUCAGGUAAGUUUCCUCCAUAUCCCCUAUUCUUUUCCAUUUCGCAUUGUUCUUUAUUCUUCUCUUUUAUGUUUGAUUGUUAUUUGUUGACCGCAUGUAUGUAGUAGAGAAUUAAUUUUCAAUCCUUUGAUUUCUUUGUUUGUUUUUAAAAGCUUGAUGUUGUGUUUUCUAUUGCUCAUAUCUUUAGUUUCGUAUUCGAAUAAUUUUUCUACUCUCAAGGACAUUGUGGUUUUAACAUUUGAUCUCUACUCCUUUCUCUACCUUGCUUUAAGCAUAAGGGUAGAAUUUUUCAGGUUUCCAAUGGUAAAGAGAAGUUUAUUGGGAAUUAGUUCUUGGAUAAGUUUCCUCCGUAUUCCCUAUUCUCUCAAAUUUUGCACUGUNNNNNNNNNNNNNNNNNNNNNNNNNNNNNNNNNNNNNNNNNNNNNNNNNNNNNNNNNNNNNNNNNNNNNNNNNNNNNNNNNNNNNNNNNNNNNNNNNNNNGUAUUUCCACACUAUACUUCUCAUUUCCUCUGGAAUCUGUAUAUUUCUACUUUCGCGCUUACCAGACUAAGUACGUGUGUCAUCGAAAAUUAAUUCUGAAUCCGUUAAUUUCUUUGUUUGUUUUUUAUCUCGAUCUUACGUUGUCUAUUCCUCAUUUCUUUAGUUUAUACCUGCAUAAUUUGAUUUUCUUUCAAUGAUAUUGCGCCUUGAGAGUUAAUUUUCUUAUUCUCAAUUUUACAUUUGAUCUCUACUCCUUUCGCUACAUUCUAUAAGCGUAAGGGUAGAAUUUUCAAGUUUCCCGAGGAAAAGAGAAGUUUGUUUGAAAAUACUUGUCAGGUAAGUUUUCUCCGCAUCCCCUAUUCUCCUCCAUUUUGCAUUGUUCUUCAUUCUUCUCUUUUAUAUUUGAGUGUUAUUUGUUCACUGCCUGUAUGUUGUACAGAAUGAAUUUUCAAUCCUUUGAUUUCAUUGCUUUUUUUUAGAGCUCUAUGUUGUGUUUUCUAUUAUUCAUUUCUUUAGUUUUGUAUCAAAAUAAUUUUAUUUACUCUCAAGGACAUUGUGGUUUUAACAUUUGAUCUCUUCUCAUUUCUCUAUCUUGCUUUAAGCGUAAGGGUAGAAUUUUCAGGUUUCCCGUGGUCAUGAGAAGUUUAUUUCGAGUUAGUUCUUCAGUAAGUUUCCUCUAUAUUCCCUAUUCUCUCAAAAAUUUUGCACUGUUUCUCCUAUUUAUCUUUUCGUGUUAUAUGUCUACUGUAUGUGUGUACUAGAAAAUUAAUUCUGAAUCCGUUAAUUUCUUUGUCUAUUUUUUUUCUUGAUGUUGCGUUUUCUAUUCCUCAUUUCUUUAGUUUCGUAUAUGCAUAAUUUGAUUUCCUUUCAAGGAUAUUGCGCAAUAGUUAAUUUUCUUAUUCUCGUUUUUACAUUUGAUCUCUACUCCUUUCGCUACAUUCUCUAAGCGUAAGGGUAGAAUUUAAAGGUUUCCCAAGGAAAAGAGAAGUGUUUUUGGAAAUACUUGUCAGGUAAGUUUUCUCCGUAUCCCUUAUUCCCCACCACUUCGCAUUGUUCUUCAUUCUUCUCUUUUAUGUUUGAGUGUUAUUUGUUCACUGCGUGUAUCUAGUAGAGAAUUAAUUUUCAAUCCUUUGAUUUCAAUUUUUUUUUUUUUAUACCUCUAUGUUGUGUUUUCUAUUACUCAUUUCUUUAGUUUCGUAUCAAAAUAAUUUUAGUUACUUUCAAGUACAUUGUGGUUUUAAAAUUUGAUCUCUACUCCUUUCUCUACCUUGCUUUAAGCGUAAGGGUAGAAUUUUCAGGUUUCCCCUGGUCAAGAGAAGUUUAUAAGGAAUUAGUUCUUCGAUAAGUUUCCUCCAUAUUCACUAUUCUCUCAAAUUUUGCUUUGUUCUUCUUAUUUCUCUUUUAUGUUUUCGUGUUAUAUGUCUACUGUAUGUGCGUACUAUAUAAUUAAUUUUAUAUCCGUUAAUUUCAUUGUUUGUUUUUUAUCUUGAUGUUGUGUUGUCUAUUCCUCAUUUCUUUAAUUUGGUAUCCAUAUAAUUUUAUUUCCUUUCUACAAUAUUGUGCCAUAAGAGUUAAUUUUCUUAAUCUCGAUUUUACAUUUGAUCUCUACUCCUUUCGCUACCUUCUAUAAGCGUAAGGGUAGAAUUUUCAGGUUGCUCGAGGAAAAGAGAAGUUUAUGGGAAAAUACUUGUCAGGUAAGUUUCCUCCGUAUCCCCUAUUCUCCUCCAUUUGGAAUUGUUGUUCAUUAUUCUCUUUUAUGUUUGAGUGUUAUUUGUUGACCACAUGUAUGUAGUAGAUAAUUAAUUUUCAAUCCUUUGAUUACUUUGGCUUUUUUUAAAAGCUUGAUCUUGUGUUUUCUAUUCCUCAUUUCUUUAGUUUCUUAUCAAAAUAAUUUUAUUUACUUUCAAGGACAUUGUGGUUUUAACAUUUGAUCUCUACCCCUUUCUCUACUUUGCUCUAAGCACAAUGGUAGAAUUUUCAAGUUUUCGGUGGUGAAGAGAAGUUUAUUGGGAAUUAGUUCUCGGAUAAGUUUUCCCCAAAUUCCCUACUCUCUCAAAUAUUGUAUUGUUCUUCAUUUUUAUCUUGUAUGUUUUCAUGUUAUAUUUCUACUAUAUGUAUGUACUAGAUAAUUAAUUUUAUAUCCGUUAAUUUCUUUGUUUGUUUUUUAUCUUGAUGUUGCAUUCUGUAUUCCCCAUUUCUUUAGUUUCGUAUCCAUAUAAUUUUAUUUCCUUUCUACAAUAUUGUGCCAUAAGAGUUAAUUUUCUUAAUCUCGUUUUUAUAUUUAAUCUCUACUCCUUUCGCUACCUUCUAUAAGCGUACGGGUAGAACUUUCAGGUUUCCCUUUGAAAAUAGAAGUUUAUUUGAAAAUACUUGUCAUGUAAGUUUCCUCUGUAUCCCAUAUUCUCCUCCAUUUGGCAUUGUUGUUCAUUCUUCUCUUUUAUGUUAAAGUGCUAUUUGUUGACCGCAUGUAUGUAGUAGAGAAUUAAUUUUCACUCUUUUGAUUUUUUUUUUUUUUUAAGAGCUUGAUCUUGUGUUUUCUAUUCCUCAUUUCUUUAGUUUCGUAUCAGAAUAAUUUGAUUUACUUUAAAGGACAUUAUGGUUUUCACAUUUGAUCUGUACACCUUUCUCUACCUUUCCCAAUAAACUUCCCUUGACCUCAGGAAACCUGAAAAUUCUACCCUUAUGCUUAAAUCAAGGUAGAGAAAGGAGAAGAGAUCAAAUGUUAAAACCACAAUGUCCUAAAGAGUAAAUAAAAUUAUUCGGAUAUGAAACUAAAGAUAUGAGCAAUAGAAAACACAACAUCAAGCUUUUAAAAACAAACAAAUAUAUCAAAGGAUUGAAAAUAAACUCUCUACUACAUACAUGCGGUAAAAAAAUAACACUCAAACAUAAAAAGAGAAGAAUAGAGAACAAUGCGAAAUGGUAAAGAAUAAGGGAUACGGAGGAAACUUACCUGACAAGUAUUUCCAAAUGAGCUUCUCUUUUCCUCGAGACACUUGAAAAUUUUACUCUUAUGCUUAUAGAAAGUAGCGAAAGGAGUAGAGAUCAAAUGUAAAAACGAGAAUAAGAAAAUUAACUCUCAAGACACAAUAUCGUUGACAUGAAAUUAAAUUAUGCUGUUACGAAACUAAAAAAAUGAGAAUAGACAACGCAACAUCAGAAUAAAAAACAAACAAAGGAAUUAACAAAUUCAAAAAUAAUUUUCUAGUACACACAUACAGUAGACGCAUAAGAUGAAAACAUAAAAGAUAAAAAUGAAAAACAGUGCAAAAUUUGAGAGAAUAGGGAAUAGGGAGGAAACUUAUCAAAGAACCAAUUCCCAAUAAACUUCUAUUCACCACGGGAAACCUUAAAAUUCUACCCUUACGCUUAAAGCAAUGUAGAGAAAGGAGUAGAUAUCAAAUGUUAAAACCACAAUGUCCUUGGGAGUAAAUCAAAUUAUUUUGAUACAAAACUAAAAAAAUGAGGAAUAGAAAACACAACAUCAAGCUUUUAAAAAAAAAAACAAAGAAAUCAAAGGAUUGAAAAUUAAUUCUCUACUACACACAAGCGGUCAACAAAUAACACUCAAACAUAAAAGAGAAUAAUGAAGAACAAUGCAAAAUGGAGGAGAAUAGGGAAUACGGAGGAAACUUACCUGACAAGUAUUUCCCUAUAAACUUCUCUUUACCUCGAGAAACUUGAAAAUUCUACCCUUAUAUUUAUAGAAGGUAGCGAAAAGUGUAGACAUCAAAUGUAAAAAUGAUAAUAAGAAAAUUAACUCUUAAGGCUCAAUAUGGUUGAAAGGAAAUCAAAUUCUACUGAUACAAAACUAAAGAAAUGAGGAAUAGACAAUGCAACAUCAAGAUAAAAAACAAACAAAGAAAUUAAUGGAUUCAAUGUUAAUUUUCUAGAACACACAUAUAGUAGACAUAUAACACAAAAACAUAAAAGAUAAAUAAGAAGAACAACCAAGAUUUGAGAGAAUAGGGAAUAUGGAGAAAACUUACCGAAUAACUAAUUCCCAAUAAACUUCUCUUGACUAGGGGAAACCUGAAAAUUCUACCCUUACGCCUAAAACAAGGUAGAGAAAGGAGUAGAGAUCAAAUUUUAAAACCACAAUGUACUUGAAAGUAAAUAAAAAUUUUUUGAUAAGAAACUAAAGAAAUAAGAAAUAGAAAACACAACAUAGAGCUAUAAAAAAAAAACAAUGAAAUCAAAGGAUGGAAAAUUCAUUAUCUACUAAAUACACGCAGUGAACAAAUAACACUCAAACAUAAAAGAGAAAAAUACAUAACAAUGCAAAAUGGUGGAGAAUAGGAAAUACGAAGAAAACUUACUCGACAAGUAUUUCCAAAUACUCUUUUCCUUGGGAAACCUAAAAAAUUCUACCCUUACGCUUAUAGAAUGUAGCGAAAAGAGUAGAGAUCAAAAGUAAAAAUGAGAAUAAGAAAAUUAAUUCUUAAGGUGCAAUAUAGUUGAAAGGAAAUCAAAUUAUGCAAAUACAAAACUAAAGAAAAGAGGAAUAGACAACGCAAGAUCAAAAUUAAAAACAACCAAAGAAAUUAACGGAUUCAAAUUAAUUUUCUAGUACACACAUAUAGUAGACAUAUAACAUGAAAACAUACAAAAUAAAUAUGAAAAACAGUGCAAAAUUUGAGAGAAUAAGGAAUACGGAGGAACCUUAUUCAAGAACUAAUUCCCAAUAAACUUUCCUUCACCACGGGAAACCUGAAAAUUCUACCCUUACGCUUAAAGCAAGGUACAGAAAGGAUUAGAGAUCAAAUGUUAAAAUCACAAUGUCCUUGAAAGUAAAUAAAAUUAUUUUGAUAAGAAACUAAAGAAAUGAGUAAUAGAAAACACAAUAUAGAGCUCUAAAAAAACACAAUGAAAUCAAAGGAUUGAAAAUUAAUUCUCUACUACAUACACGUAGUCAACAAAUAACACUCAAACAAAACAGAGAAGAAUGAAGAACAAUGCGAAAUGGGGGAGAAUAGGGGAUACGAAGAAAACUUACUCGACAAGUAUUUCCAAACAAACUACUCUUUUCCUCGGGAUACCUUAAAAUUCUACUUUCACGCUUACCUGACAAGUAUGGGUGUACUAGAAAAUUAAUUUUGAAUCCGUUAAUUUCUUUGUUUAUUUUUUAUCUUGAUCUUGCGUUGUCUAUUCCUCAUUUCAUUAGUUUUGUAUCUACAUAAUUUGAUUUUCUUUCAACGAUAUUGUGCCUUAAGAGUUAAUUUUCUUAUUCUCGUUUUUACAUUUGAUCUCUACUCCUUCCGCUACAUUCUAUAAGCGUAAAGGUAGAAUUUUCAGGUUUCCCGAGGAAAAGAGAAGUUUGUUUGGAAAUACUUGUCAGGUAAGUUUUCUUCGUAUCCCCUAUUCUCCUCCAUUUCGCAUUGUUCUUCAUUCUUCUCUUUUUUGUUUGAGUGUUAUUUGUUGACUUCGUGUAUGUAGUAGACAACGAAUUUUCAAUCCUUUGAUUUCAUUGUUUUUUUUUAUAACUCUAUGUUAUGUUUUCUAUUACUCAUUUAUUUAGUUUCUUAUCAAAAUAAUUUUAUUUACUUUCAAGGACAUUGUGGUUUUAACAUUUGAUCUCUAAUCCUUUCUGUACCUUGCUUUAAGCGUAAAGGUAGAAUUUUCAGGUUUCCCGUGGUGAAGGAAAAGUUUAUUGGGAAUUAGUUCUUGGAUAAGGUUCCUCCGUAUUCCCUAUUCUCUCAAAUUUUGCACUGUUCUUCAUAUUUAUCUUGUAUGUUUUCAUGUUAUAUGUCUAUUGUAUGUAUGUACUAUAAAAUUAAUUUUGAAUCUGAUAAUGUCUUUGUUUAUUUUUUAUUUUUAUGGUGCGUUGUCUAUUCCUCAUUUCUUUAGUUUCGUAUCAACAUAAUUUGAUUUCCUUUCAACGAUAUUGUGCAUUAAGAGUUAAUUUUCUUAUUCUCGUUUUUACAUUUGAUCUCUACUCGUUUCGCUACAUUCUAUAAGCAUAAGGGUAGAAUUUUCAGGUUUCCCGAGGAAAGGAGAAGUUUUCAAUCCUUUGAUUUUAUUAUUUUCUUUUAGAGCUAUAUGUUGUGUUUUUCUAUUACUCAUUUCUUUAGUUUCUUAUCAAAAUAAUUUUAUUUACCUUCAAGGACAUUGUGGUUUUAACAUUUGAUCUCUACUCCUUUCGCUACAUUCUAUAAGCGUAAGGGUAGAAUUUUCAAGUUUCCCGAGGAAAAGAGAAGUUUGUUUGGAAAUACUUGUCAGGUAAGUUUUCUCCGUAUCCCCUAUUCUCCUUCAUUUCGCAUUGUUCUUCAUUCUUCUCUUUUAUGUUUGAGUGUUAUUUGUUGAAUUCGUGUAUGUAGUAGAGAAUGGAUUUUCAAUCUUUUGAUUUCAUUGUUUUUUUUUAGAGCUCUAUGUUGUGUUUUCUAUUAUUCAUUUCUUUAGUUUCAUAUCAAAUUAAUUUUAUUUACUCUCAAGGAUAUUGAUGUUUUAACAUUUAUUCUCUACACAUUUCUCAACUUGCUUUAAGCGUAAGGGUAGAAUUUUCAGGUUUCCCGUAGUGAAGAGAAGUUUAUUGGGAAUUAGUUAUUGGAUAAGUUUCCUCCGUAUUCCCUAUUCUCUCAAAUUUUGCGUUGUUCUUCAUUUUUAUCUUGUCAGUUUCCUCCGUAUCCUCUAUUCUCCUCCAUCUGGCAUUGUUAUUCAUUCUUCUCUUUUAUGUUUGAGUGUUAUUUGUUGACCGCGUGUAUGUAGUAGAGAAAUAAUUUUCAAUUCUUUGAUUUCGUUUUUUUUUUUUUUAAAAGCUUGAUGUUGUGUUCUCUAUUGCUCAUUUCUUUAGUUUCGUAUCCGAAUAAUUUUAUUUACUUUCAAGGACACUGUGGUUUUAACAUUUGAUCUUUUCUCCUUUCUCUACCUUGCUUUAAGCAUAAGGGUAGAAUUUUCAGGUUUCGCGUGGUCAAGAGAAGUUUAUUGGGAAUUAAUUCUUCGAUAAGUUUCCUCCCUAUUCCUUAUUCUCUCAAAUUUUGCAUUGUUUUUCAUAUUUAUCUUUUAUGUUUUCGUGUUAUAUGUCUACUGUAUGUGUGUACUAGAAAAUUAAUUUAUGAAUCCGUUAAUUUCUUUGUUUGUUUUUUAUCUUGAUCUUGCGUUGUGUAUUCCUCAUUUCAUUAGUUUCGUAUCUACAUAAUUUAAUUUCCUUUAACCGAUAUUGUGCCUUAAGAGUUAAUUUUCUUAUUCUCGUUUUUACAUUUGUAAUCUACUCAUUUCGCUACCUUCUAUAAGCGUAAGGGUAGAAUUUUUAGGUUUCCCCAGGAAAAGAAAUGUUUGUUUGGAAAUACUUGUCAGGUAAGUUUUCUCUGUAUCCACUAUUCUCCUCCAUUUUGUAAUGUUCUUCAUUCUUCUCUUUUAUGUUUGAUUGUUAUUUGUUGAUUGCGUGUAUAUAGUAGAUAAUGAAUUUUCAAUCCUUUGAUUUCAUUGUUUUUUUUUUUAGAGCUCUAUGUUGUGGUUUUUAUUACUCAUUUCUUUAGUUUCUUAUCAAAAUAAUUUUAUUUACUUUCAAGGACAAUGUGGUUUUAACAUUUGAUUUCUACUCUUUUCUCUACCUUGUUUUAAGCGUAAGAGUAAAAUUUUUAGGUUUUCCGUGGUGAAGAUAAGUUUAUUGGGAAUUAGUUCUUGGAUAAGUUUCCUCCGUAUUCCCUAUUCUCUCAAAUUUUGCACGGUUCUUCAUAUUUAUCUUGUAUGUUUUCGUAUUAUAUGUCUACUGUAUGUGUGUGCUAGAAAAUUAAUUUUGAUUCUGUUAACUUCUUUGUUUGUUUUUUAUCUUAAUUUUGCGUUGCUUAUUCCUCAUUUCUUUAGUUUCAUAUCUGCAUAGUUUGAUUUUCUUUCAACCAAAGCCUUAAGAGUUAAUUUUCUUAUUCUUGUUUUUACAUUUGAUCUCUACCCCUUUUGCUUCCUUCUAUAAGCGUAAAGGUAGAAUUUUUAGGUUUCCCAAAGAAAAGAGAAGUUUAUUGGAAAAUACUUGUCAGAUAAGUUUCCUCGAUAUACACUAUUCUCCUUCAUUACGCAUUGUAAUUCAUUCUGCUCUUUUAUGUUUGAGUGUUAUUUGUUGACUACAUGUAUGUAGUAGAGAAUGAAUUUUCAAUCUUUUGAUUUCAUUGUUUUUUUUUAGCUUUAUGUUGAGUUUUCUAUUACUCAUUUCUUAAGUUUCUUAUCAAAAUAAUUUUAUUUACUCUUAAGAAAAUUGUGGUUUUAACAUUUGAUCUCUACUCCUUUCUCGACCUUCCUUUAAGCGUAACGGUAGAAUUUUCAGGUUUCCCGUGGUGAGGAGAAGCUUUUUGGGAAUUAGUUCUUGUAUAAGUUUCCUCUGUAUUCCCCUAUUCUCUCAAAUUUUGCAUUGUUCUUCAUAGUUAUCUUGUAUGUUUUCGUGUUAUAUGUCCACUGUAUAUGUGUACUAGAAAAUUAAUUUUGAAUCCGUUAAUUUCUUUGUUUGUUUUUUAUCUUGAUCUUGCGUUGUCUAUUCCUCAUUUCUUUAGUUUCGUAUCAGCAUAAUUUAAUUUCCUUUCAACGAUAUUGUGUCUUGAGAGUUAAUUUUCUUAUUCUCGUUUUUACAUUUGAUCUCUACGCCUUUCGUUACUUUCUAUAAGCGUAAGGGUAGAAUUUUCAAGUGUCCCGAGGAAAUGAGAAGUUUAUUUGGAAAUACUUGUCAGGUAAGUUUCCUCUGUAUCCCUUAUUCUCUUCCAUUUCGCAUUGUUCUUUAUUAUUCUCUUUUAUGUUUGAGUGUUAUUUUUUAAUCGCAUGUAUGUAGUAGAGAAUAAAUUUUCAAUCCUUUGAUUUCUUUGUUUUCUUUUUAAAAGCUUGUUGUUGUGUUUUCUUCCUCAUUUCUUUAGUUUCGUAUCAGAAUAAUUUGAUUUACUUUCAAGGACAUUGUGCUUUUCACAUUUGAUCUAUACACCUUUCUUUAAGCAUAAGGGUAGAAUUUUCAGGUUUCCCGAGGUCAAGAGAAGUUUAUUGAGAAUUAGUUCUUCGAUAAGUUUCCUCCAUAUUCCCUAUUCUCUCAAAUUAUGCAUUGUUCUUCAUAUUUAUCUUUUAUGUUUUCGUGUUAUAUGUCUAUUGUAUGUAUGUACUAGAAAAUUAAUUUUGAAUCCGUUAAUUUCUUUAUUUGUUUUUUAUCUCGAUGUUGCGUUGUCUAUUCCUCAUUUUUUUAGUUUCGUAUCAGCAUAAUUUAAUUUCAUUUCAACGAUAUUGUGUCUUGAGAGUUAAUUUUCUUAUUCUCGUUUUUACAUUUAAUCUCUACUCCUUUCGCUACUUUCUAUAAGUGUAAGGGUAGAAUUUUCAAGUGUCCCGAGGAAAAGAGAAGUUUAUUUGGAAAUACUUGUCAGGUAAGUUUCCUCCGUAUUCCCUAUUCUCUUCCAUUUCGCAUUGUUCUUUAUUAUUCUCUUUUAUGUUUGAGUGUUAUUUGUUGACCACAUAUAUGUAGUAGAGAAUUAAUAUUCAAUCCUUUGAUUUCUUUGUUUUUUUUUUUAAAAGCUUGAUGUUGUGUUUUCUAUUCCUCAUUUCUUUAGUUUCGUAUCAGAAUAAUUUUGAUUUACUUUCAAGGACAUUGUGGUUUUCACAUUUGAUUUGCACUCCUUUCUCUACCUUUCUUUANNNNNNNNNNNNNNNNNNNNNNNNNNNNNNNNNNNNNNNNNNNNNNNNNNNNNNNNNNNNNNNNNNNNNNNNNNNNNNNNNNNNNNNNNNNNNNNNNNNNUGCAAAAUUUAAGAGAAUAGGGAAUACGGAGGAAACUUAUCCAAGAACUAAUUCCCCGUAAACUUCUCUUUACCACGGGAAACCUGAAAAUUCUACCCUUAUGCUUAAAGAAAGGUAAAGAAGGUGUACAGAUCAAAUGUGAAAACCACAAUGUCCUUGAAAGUAAAUCAAAUUAUUCUGAUACGAAACUAAAGAAAUGAGGAAUAGAAAACACAACAUCAAGCUCAUAAAAAAAACAAAGAAAUCAAAGGAUUGAAAAUUAAUUCUCUACAUACAUGCGGUUAACAAAUAACACUCAAACAUAAAAGAGAAGAAUCAAGAACAAUGCGAAAUGGAAGAGAAUAGGGGAUACGGAGGAAACUUACCUGAAGAGUAUUUCCAAAUAAACUUCUCUUUUCCUCGGGACACUUGAAAAUUCUACCCUUACGCUUAUAAAAAGUAGUGAUAAGAGUAGAGAUCAAAUGUAAAAACGAGAAUAAGAAAAUUAACUCUCAAGACACAACAUCAUUGAAAUCAAAUUAAAUUAUAUUGAUACGAAACUAAAAAAAUGAGGAAUAGACAACACAACAUCGAGAUAAAAAACAAACAAAGAAAUUAACGGAUAUAAAAUUAAUUUUCCAAUACACACAUACAGUAGACAUAUAACACGAAAACAUAAAAGAUAAAUAUGAAUAACAAUGCAAAAUUUAAGAGAAUAUGAAAUAUGGAGGAAACUUAUCGAAGAACUAAUUCCCAAUAAACUUCUCUUGACCUCAGAAAACCUAAAAAUUCUACCCUUAUACUUAAAGCAAGGUAGAGAAAGGAGAAGAGAUCAAAUGUUAAAACCACAAUGUCCUUGAGAGUAAAUAAAAUUAUUCGGAUACGAAACUAAAGAAAUGAGUAAUAGAAAACACAACAUCAAGCUUUUAAAAAAAAACAAAGAAAUCAAAGGAUUGAAAAUUAAUUCUCUACUACAUACAUGCAGUCAACAAAUAAUACUCAAACAUAAAAGAGAAUAAUAAAGAACAAUGCAAAAUCGAAGAGAAUAGGGGAUACAGAGGAAACUUACCUGACAAGUAUUUCCAAAUAAACUUCUCUUUUCCUCGGGACACUUGAAAAUUCUACCUUUACGCUUAUAGAAAGUAUCAAAAGGAGUAGAGAUCAAAUGUUAAAACAAGAAUAAGAAAUUAACUCUCAAGGCACAAUAUCUUGAAAGGAAAUUAAAUUAUGCUGAUACGAAACUAAAGAAAUGAGGAAUAGACAACGCAACAUAAAGAUAAAAGACAAAAAAAGAAAUUAACGGUUUCAAAAUUAAUUUUCUAGUACACACAUACAGUUGACAUAUAACACGAAAACAUACAAGAUAAUUAUCAAGAACAAUGCAAAAUUUGAGAGAAUAGGGAAUACGGGGGAAACUUAUACAAGAACUAAUUCCCAAAAAGCUUCUCUUCACCACGGGAAACCUGAAAAUUCUACUGUUACGCUUAAAGGAAGGCCGAGAAAGGAGUAGAGAUCAAAUGUUAAAACCACAAUUUUCUUAAGAGUAAAUAAAAUUAUUUU
Molecule: long non-coding RNA, 16380 nt
Filed under: Vitis vinifera (wine grape)
Lineage: Eukaryota; Viridiplantae; Streptophyta; Magnoliopsida; Vitales; Vitaceae
Description: long non-coding RNA (VVIN_LNC003540)
Source: RNAcentral